GUGUUCAAACUAUUUGUGUUCUUAAAAAAUAAAAAAAAAAUGAAUAUUUCCGUAGCCCUAUUUUUUAUGGAUAAUGAGGGGGAGGUUCGAAAUGUGCCACGGAGGCAUUUAAGAGAUGCUUCGAAUUUAUUUGAAGUACCUAACAACCAGUUUGUGGCCAACUUUCAUGUGUCGAGGGAAGUUUUCGGGCUCUUUUGGAUAUGAUGGAAGAGAAGUGGGUGCCCGGUUGCAGAACUACCCAAAUCCGCCCCGAUUUAAAACUUCUUCUGCUGCUUCCAAAAAUUGGCAUUCCUCUGGCGAACACAGGAUUCUCCUCCAUUUACUCAACUAGUGCCCGCAGCUGUGUAGUUGAUGAUUUUUUCGUGCUGGAAUUGAGAAAAUAAAAAAAAUAUAUAUUUGUUGUUCACAUAUUAAA
Long non-coding RNA from Musca domestica (house fly), 415 nucleotides. RefSeq lists it as uncharacterized. NCBI's taxonomy places the organism in Eukaryota, Metazoa, Arthropoda, Insecta, Diptera, Muscidae. The record is from RefSeq and is a predicted model, not a curated record. The transcript has 2 exons.